UCUCAAAGCCCCUGCCCCCACACUCACAGUGGAAUAUUUGCACAGUAACAAACCUCAAAUUUGCCCUCCUUCCUAGUGUCUUGCCAAUGAAAAGUGCUUCCGACUCUGACCCUAGUCCUGCUUAUGUUUGUUGUUUUGUUGUUUGUUUUUUCCAAGCAGAGCUAAAGCAAGCUCAGUACUAUUGGAGAUUUGGAAAGUGCCUUCACAUUGUCUUUGCCAAUUCUCACCUGAGAGCCCUGCAGACGCCCCACGAGAGGAAAAUCUAAGGCUGUACCCUUUACAAGGAGUCUCCAGUCAUACAGCUGAUUUUCCUCCGUCCUCUACUCCACCUCCUGGCUGCAGCAUACACAGAUUAUUGUCUUGAAUCUGACCCCAGUUGUUUAUUAAUUAUACCCCUUUUCAUGACACGGGAAGGCUAAGAUGAAGCUGUCUGGGAUGGAAAAG
RNAcentral lists this long non-coding RNA (444 nucleotides) under Homo sapiens (human). RNAcentral describes it as "HSALNT0217092". The record is from RNAcentral. Lineage: Eukaryota; Metazoa; Chordata; Mammalia; Primates; Hominidae.